GAUAAACGCUGGCGGCGCACAUAAGACAUGCAAGUCGAACGGACUUAACCUAAAAGUUUACUUUUGGAGCGGUUAGUGGCGGACUGGUGAGUAACAUGUAAGCAAUCUGCCUAUCAGAGGGGAAUAACAGUGAGAAAUCAUUGCUAAUACCGCAUAAUGCAGUUGGGCCGCAUGGCUCUGACUGCCAAAGAUUUAUCGCUCUAAGAUGGCCUCGCGUCUGAUUAGCUAGUUGGUGGGGUAACGGCUCACCAAGGCGACGAUCAGUAGCCGGACUGAGAGGUUGGCCGGCCACAUUGGGACUGAGACACGGCCCAA
Molecule: ribosomal RNA, 315 nt
Filed under: uncultured bacterium
Lineage: Bacteria
Description: bacterial SSU rRNA
Rfam family: Bacterial small subunit ribosomal RNA
Source: RNAcentral